Molecule: non-coding RNA, 511 nt
Organism: Grus americana (Whooping crane)
Lineage: Eukaryota; Metazoa; Chordata; Aves; Gruiformes; Gruidae
Source: the annotation of a RefSeq genome assembly
AGAGCUGUCGCCUUCCUCCCAGAGGCAGAAGCCAGCGAGAGCCCUCGGGAUGCUGCUGCUCCCGCUCCUGGCCCUGGCUGCAGCCUGGUCCUAUGGACAAGCACAAGUGCUUCUGAAGCAGAGUGUAUCCAUUACCAGAGGCCAAGGUAAAACUGCAUGGAUCGAGUGUAUAGCUGAGGGCAUAUCCAACUUCCAGUCUGCAAUUAUACAUUGGUACCGACAUAUCCCCUCCAAAGCUCCCGAACGGAUUCUGUAUAUCGGAUCAGGUCAAGCUUCGUAUGACGACAAUGCCUAUAGGAGCAAGUAUUCUUCUUCAAAGAGAGGUACAAAUGUCUGCACUUUCUUAAUCAAGGGCAUUAACUCCAACGAUGAAGGUACCUACUACUGUGCCUACUGGAAGUCCCACAGAACUAGCAGACCACAGGCAGCCUCUACAGAAAGCUGCCCAUCCCCUGCGCAGCAGGCUUCCUGUCAAAUGCAGAGAACCACGGUUGUACCUUCCUGCCACUAA